Molecule: long non-coding RNA, 1025 nt
Filed under: Anser cygnoides (Swan goose)
Lineage: Eukaryota; Metazoa; Chordata; Aves; Anseriformes; Anatidae
Description: lncRNA (ENSACDG00005003025.1)
Source: RNAcentral
GUGAUGUCUUACAAGAGCUGGCUGGCUGUGGACUCUCUAUCACCAGCACAAGAUGCGGCUGGGUGUCCCAAAUAUAGGUCUUGCUCCCAUUCUGCUGCUCAGUGCUAAGUGACAGCUAGCAAGCCAACACAUCUCAGUUGGAGACGUGGGGUGCUGCUGAGAUAGAAGUGAUUAUUGCAAUGCAAGCUCUUGAUCCAGAGCCUGGGAAGCUGGAUGUUGGAUGUCUUCGCAUCCUACCUCCUAUUUUAAGUUACUUCCUUUUUAUAGCAUAAUUUCCAGGUGGGGGGAUGUAUUUCUGUACAUUGAGUCUCCUGUUUUCCUUCCUUGAUAAGAGCUUUAAAUAGCGUGUAAGAAUUGUCAGCAGGUAGCUCUUUUAAUCACAUAGAAAUUAUUCUCUACAUAACUUACAGAGCUCAUGACCUUGGAGCACCCCUCUGGACCACUGGCUGAGCUGGGUGGUGAGGAUCGAUCACAGCCAAAUCGUGGUUCCCUGGUCCCAUCAUCAUAUCCUUGCUCUCCAUCCACGCCGCAGCCCCGUGCUUACUGUGCUCUCCCAGGCUGUUGGGUACAGACAGCUGGUACAGGCACAGAGCAGUGCAGCUAUGCUCCUUGGAAAGCACUUGCUUAUCCAGACUGGUCCUCUUGAAAGAAAAAAGCCACAAGGUGCCGUGCACAGUCUGUAGGGCACCCGUCUGCUGAACCUGCUGGAGAUGGAUGAUGCACGAGAGUUCAAGCCACUACCACUUCUCUGUGAAAGGCUGGAGAAUUCAGAAAUUAUAUGUGUGGACGAAAAUAACCCCAGAGUUUUCCCAGCAUCGUCAGAGCUAAGUAUUUUCCUCAUCUCGCUCAUUCAGAAGAAUUUCACUUUUCCAGCUAUACAGAAUAUGAAAACAAUACAGGAAAAGCUCCCCUGGGUUUUUCAUCAGCUUGUGAAUCUGAAAGAAGUCCAAGGUUCAGGAAGUUCUGCCCAUCUUUUCUUCUUCUGUCCACCAUCUACCACACCAGUGUUGUUUCCUAAGUCUUAA